Molecule: ribosomal RNA, 481 nt
Filed under: uncultured bacterium
Lineage: Bacteria
Description: partial 16S ribosomal RNA
Rfam family: Bacterial small subunit ribosomal RNA
Source: RNAcentral
GAUGAACGCUGGCGGCGUGCUUAACACAUGCAAGUCGAACGAAGCACUUUAUUUGAUUUCCUUCGGGACUGAUUAUUUUGUGACUGAGUGGCGGACGGGUGAGUAACGCGUGGGUAACCUGCCUUGUACAGGGGGAUAACAGUUGGAAACGGCUGCUAAUACCGCAUAAGCGCACGGCAUCGCAUGAUGCAGUGUGAAAAACUCCGGUGGUAUAAGAUGGACCCGCGUUGGAUUAGCGAGUUGGUGAGGUAACGGCCCACCAAGGCGACGAUCCAUAGCCGACCUGGGAGGGGGACCGGCCACAUUGGGACUGAGACACGGCCCAAACUCCUACGGGAGGCAGCAGUGGGGAAUAUUGCACAAUGGGCGAAAGCCUGAUGCAGCGACGCCGCGUGAGCGAAGAAGUAUUUCGGUAUGUAAAGCUCUAUCAGCAGGGAAGAUAAUGACGGUACCUGACUAAGAAGCACCGGCUAAAUACGUG